UUAGUCAAACCAUCGUCGUUUUGCUGCCUUAUUUUUUACCCAGACAAUAACAAUAAACAUUUUCCCCGUUCUCCCUUCAUUUCCCCCCUUUUCCUUAGUCCCAAAUCCCUAAAGUACUUAUCGUGUCGUCUUCCCCAUUUCUCUUGCAAGAAGGGACUAGAUUGCGAGUAUCGGCAUAGUGAAGUUGCCAGGCUCAACCCGAGGGACUGCUGGUAUUGGUUGGCUGGGAAUUGUAUUAAUCCGACUUGUGGUUUUCGGCAUCCUCCUCUGUUUCCUGGUGAGAGUGGAGUAGACCAGCUUGUUGAAAUUAUUAAGGAAAAAUGCGUAGGAGAAGAUUACGAGAUUUAAGUAUUGUCCAGAAUACUCCAAAUUCGGAAGAAGGAAAUAGUGAACAGCAGACCAUUGUUGGAUCUUCGAAUGUGCCGGAGACAGUUGAUGAGCCUGAAGAAU
Long non-coding RNA from Gossypium arboreum, 450 nucleotides. RefSeq lists it as uncharacterized. NCBI's taxonomy places the organism in Eukaryota, Viridiplantae, Streptophyta, Magnoliopsida, Malvales, Malvaceae. The record is from RefSeq and is a predicted model, not a curated record. The transcript has 4 exons.